Long non-coding RNA from Prionailurus viverrinus (fishing cat), 549 nucleotides. RefSeq lists it as uncharacterized. The transcript is spliced from 7 exons. The record is from RefSeq and is a predicted model, not a curated record. Lineage: Eukaryota; Metazoa; Chordata; Mammalia; Carnivora; Felidae.
CCUCCUCGGACCCACCCCCCCAGCCCUGUGUUCACUGGGGGAAAACCCACUGCCCAACGUGGUAGAGCUGGAACUGGGUGCCUGAACCGGCUGGGUAUUUGGUCGAUGAAGUUUUGCCCUUAAAGGGAUGCCGUACUUUCGGUGGAGCAUAAUGGGAGCUAUAAAGCCAGAAAGGAGGCCUGAGGCUGGACCAUCAUGAAGGAAGGAGUGUAUAAUAAGAAGACCUUAUGGGACUUAAAAUUUUCAGCUUCCAGACUGUUGAGAUCUUUAUGGAUUGGAAUUCACUGAGCUUCAUUCUCAGCAUUGAUGCAGAGGGCAGGUGAGAAAGAAGAAAAAAGCAUCUCUGUCUUGAUUCAAACUAAACACUUCUCUGAAAUAUUUACAAAGCAGUGUGCGUCACGUGAGGCCUGGGCCAAAGGACCCUCUGACUUUCUGUGUAAGAGGCCCCUUACACAUGGUGGACACCUGAUAAAUAUUCACUGAAGCCUUGGAACAUUGGUUUGAGCACUGGCCUCAAUUUUUGGAUGAGAGUUGCCCCCAUCAACUGGG